GGGGGGGGCAAGCGUUGUUCGGAAUUACUGGGCGUAAAGGGCUCGUAGGCGGCCAACUAAGUCGGAUGUGAAAUCCCCAGGCUUAACCUGGGAACUGCAUCCGAUACUGGAUGGCUUGAAUUCGGGAGAGGGAUGCAGAAUUCCAGUUGUAGCGGUGAAAUGCGUAGAUAUCUGGAGGAAUACCGGUGGCGAAGGCGGCAUCCUGGACCGAGAUUGACGCUGAUGAGCGAAAGCUAGGGGAGCAAACGGGAUUAGAUACCCCGGUAGUCCUAGCCCUAAACGAUGAAUGCUUGGUGUGGCGGGUAUCGAUCCCUGCCGUGCCGAAGCUAACGCAUUAAGCAUUCCGCCUGGGGAGUACGGUCGCAAGGCUG
RNAcentral lists this ribosomal RNA (371 nucleotides) under uncultured bacterium. Its description in RNAcentral is "bacterial SSU rRNA". It matches the Rfam family "Bacterial small subunit ribosomal RNA", at positions 527 to 896 of the family's 1533-position model. The record is from RNAcentral.